RNAcentral lists this ribosomal RNA (530 nucleotides) under Salmonella enterica. Its description in RNAcentral is "bacterial SSU rRNA". It matches the Rfam family "Bacterial small subunit ribosomal RNA", at positions 997 to 1527 of the family's 1533-position model. The record is from RNAcentral. Lineage: Bacteria; Pseudomonadati; Pseudomonadota; Gammaproteobacteria; Enterobacterales; Enterobacteriaceae.
AAUCCAGAGAUGGAUUUGUGCCUUCGGGAACUGUGAGACAGGUGCUGCAUGGCUGUCGUCAGCUCGUGUUGUGAAAUGUUGGGUUAAGUCCCGCAACGAGCGCAACCCUUAUCCUUUGUUGCCAGCGAUUAGGUCGGGAACUCAAAGGAGACUGCCAGUGAUAAACUGGAGGAAGGUGGGGAUGACGUCAAGUCAUCAUGGCCCUUACGACCAGGGCUACACACGUGCUACAAUGGCGCAUACAAAGAGAAGCGACCUCGCGAGAGCAAGCGGACCUCAUAAAGUGCGUCGUAGUCCGGAUUGGAGUCUGCAACUCGACUCCAUGAAGUCGGAAUCGCUAGUAAUCGUGGAUCAGAAUGCCACGGUGAAUACGUUCCCGGGCCUUGUACACACCGCCCGUCACACCAUGGGAGUGGGUUGCAAAAGAAGUAGGUAGCUUAACCUUCGGGAGGGCGCUUACCACUUUGUGAUUCAUGACUGGGGUGAAGUCGUAACAAGGUAACCGUAGGGGAACCUGCGGUUGGAUCACC